CCGGGAUGCCCCAGUAACGGCGAGUGAAGCGGCAAAAGCUCAAAUUUGGAAUCCUGCGGGAGUUGUAAUUUGAAGGCUGUAAGGUGGUGGCUCGGCCCUGUGCAAGUCCAUUGGAACAUGGCGCCAAGGAGGGUGACAGCCCCGUGGCACUAGGUCAACCACCAUAUACUUUACGGCCAAAGAGUCGAGUUGUUUGGGAAUGCAGCUCUAAGUGGGUGGUAAAUUCCAUCUAAAGCUAAAUAUUGGCGAGAGACCGAUAGCGAACAAGUACAGUGAUGGAAAGAUGAAAAGCACUUUGAAAAGAGAGUGAAACAGUACGUGAAAUUGUUGGAAGGGAAGGGCUUGCAAGCAGACACAACCCCCCGGGUUGGGCCAGCAUCGGGGCGGAGGAGAGCAAAACAGGCGGUGAAUGUGGCGCCAGUCCUUUGGGCUGGCGUGUUUAUAGCGCCGCCAAAUACUCUCAUUCUGCCCCGAGGCCAGCGCAUUUC
This 488-nucleotide ribosomal RNA is filed under the name Metschnikowia sp. 2 HMD-2015. RNAcentral's name for it is "eukaryotic LSU rRNA". It matches the Rfam family "Eukaryotic large subunit ribosomal RNA", at positions 69 to 573 of the family's 3401-position model. Lineage: Eukaryota; Fungi; Ascomycota; Pichiomycetes; Serinales; Metschnikowiaceae. The record is from RNAcentral.